Molecule: ribosomal RNA, 253 nt
Filed under: uncultured bacterium
Lineage: Bacteria
Description: partial 16S ribosomal RNA
Rfam family: Bacterial small subunit ribosomal RNA
Source: RNAcentral
UACGAAGGGGGCUAGCGUUGCUCGGAAUCACUGGGCGUAAAGCGCACGUAGGCGGAUUGCUAAGUCAGGGGUGAAAUCCUGGAGCUCAACUCCAGAACUGCCUUUGAUACUGGCGAUCUCGAGUCCGGGAGAGGUGAGUGGAACUGCGAGUGUAGAGGUGAAAUUCGUAGAUAUUCGCAAGAACACCAGUGGCGAAGGCGGCGCACUGGCCCGGUACUGACGCUGAGGCGCGAAAGCGUGGGGAGCAAACAGG